GGAAUCUCCAGCAGAUUAUCGUUAGAGCUCCGGUGAGCGUCUUCGUCUCUCGCUGCACCGCUGAACUGGAACUGAACUCACGGGUGUACAGAGUGAGGGGUGACAGUUUCAGAAAGUUUCUGACAGCGUUGAAUUGCACGGAGACUGCAAACUACAUCAUCUCCACUUCUCCAUUUCCUUCAUUAAGAACAUAACAGACAGAGAAAGGGUCGCGUGGAACCUGGAGCCUAUCCCAGGGAGGAUGGGGUACGAGGCGGGGUACACCCUGGAUAGGGUGCCGAUCCAUCACAGGGCACACUCACAUACACUACGGACACUUUGGACACGCCAGUCAGUCUACCAUGCAUGUCUUUGGACUGGGGGAGGAAACCGGAGAACCCCGAGGAAACCCCCACAGCACGGGGAGAACAUGCAAACUCCACACACACAGCGCAGCGGCAGGAAUCGAACCCCCAACACCUGGAGGUGUGAGGUGAACCUUCUAACCACUAAACCACCGUGCGCAUA
Molecule: long non-coding RNA, 507 nt
Organism: Ictalurus furcatus (blue catfish)
Lineage: Eukaryota; Metazoa; Chordata; Actinopteri; Siluriformes; Ictaluridae
Exons: 3
Source: RefSeq, a predicted model, not a curated record